Molecule: non-coding RNA, 70 nt
Organism: Ictidomys tridecemlineatus (thirteen-lined ground squirrel)
Lineage: Eukaryota; Metazoa; Chordata; Mammalia; Rodentia; Sciuridae
Source: Rfam
GGGGCUGUGGCUCAGUGGUAGAGCGCUUGCCUUGCAUGUGAGACACUGGGUUCAAUCCUCAGCAACACAU